Molecule: non-coding RNA, 722 nt
Organism: Ictidomys tridecemlineatus (thirteen-lined ground squirrel)
Lineage: Eukaryota; Metazoa; Chordata; Mammalia; Rodentia; Sciuridae
Source: RefSeq, a predicted model, not a curated record
AACCCAGACAGCUGCUAGGUAACUAACAGGGGUUAAAAAAAUGGUCUCCCAAAUCAAUGCCCUACAAGGAAUGGAUUUCUUCCUGUGCAAGCAAGUGACUUUGGUUCUUGGGAAAACCCCACUGGUUCAGAGACAAGAGAACAUCAUAACCUUGAGCUCUCUGGUGAAAAUAAAAGAUCGAUGCAAACUUGACUAUGUAAAAUUGGGGGACUUUUCAUCCAGAUGAGAAGACAAUGGAGUACUAUAAAUACAUGUGGCAUACUUGAGGAGAACUUAUUUUAUUCAAACAUUGAGAACCUUCACCCUGAGAGAAACCUCUUUAUGUGAAAAUAAAUAAAUUAAGAUGUGCCUUCAUGAGGAACAGGUUUCUCUGGCAAUCUCAAAGCUGAGAGUCUUGAAGACCAAAAGUUCAGCUGCCUCGUUUUUAAAAGUGCAGAAACAGAUGGACCCCAAGAAAAGUUCUCGACUCCUUGGCAGGAAGACAGUGGCUCUUUCAUCAAAGAGGAAUCUCCUAGGCAGGAAGAACCAGCAUCACCAAGUGGCUUUGCUUCAAAACUCUUUCCAAGACAUCCAUCAAGGGCAAGUGAAAGACGCAAACAUGCAGAUUGGGGUGGCGGGGGAGCUAAAUUUUAACCAGGUACUACUUCUCCCUAUUUCUUCCCUCUCUCUCUUCCUCUCUUCCCUUGUAAAAUUGUCCCUCUCUUUUUUUCUUCCCUUCUGCC